This 460-nucleotide ribosomal RNA is filed under the name uncultured bacterium. RNAcentral describes it as "partial 16S ribosomal RNA". It matches the Rfam family "Bacterial small subunit ribosomal RNA", at positions 338 to 795 of the family's 1533-position model. The record is from RNAcentral.
CCUACGGGUGACAGCAGUGAGGAAUAUUGGUCAAUGGCCGUAAGGCUGAACCAGCCAAGUAGCGUGAGGGAAGACUGCCCUAUGGGUUGUAAACCUCUUUUAUGCGGGGAUAAAGGUGUCCACGUGUGGAUGUUUGCAGGUACCGCAUGAAUAAGGACCGGCUAAUUCCGGGCCCGCAGCCGCGGUAAUACGGAAGGUUCGGGCGUUAUCCGGAUUUAUUGGGGUUAAAGGGAGCGUUGGCCGGUCUUUAAGCGUGCCGGGAAAUUUUGUGGGUGAACCCUGACAGUGCGGCGCGAACUGGAGUCCUUGAGUGCGCGGAAGGCAGGCGGAAUGCGUGGUGUAGCGGUGAAAUGCUUAGAUAUCACGAAGAACCCCGAUUGCGAAGGCAGCCUGCCGCAGCGUUACUGACGCUGAAGCUCGAAAGCGCGGGUAUCGAACAGGAUUAGAUACCCUAGUAGUC